Molecule: ribosomal RNA, 482 nt
Filed under: uncultured bacterium
Lineage: Bacteria
Description: partial 16S ribosomal RNA
Rfam family: Bacterial small subunit ribosomal RNA
Source: RNAcentral
AUUGAACGCUGGCGGCAUGCCUUACACAUGCAAGUCGAACGGUAACAGGUCUUCGGAUGCUGACGAGUGGCGCACGGGUGAGUAAUACAUCGGAACGUGCCCGAUCGUGGGGGAUAACGAGGCGAAAGCUUUGCUAAUACCGCAUACGAUCUACGGAUGAAAGCGGGGGAUCUUCGGACCUCGCGCGGACGGAGCGGCCGAUGGCAGAUUAGGUAGUUGGUGGGAUAAAAGCUUACCAAGUCGACGAUCUGUAGCUGGUCUGAGAGGAUGAUCAGCCACACUGGGACUGAGACACGGCCCAGACUCCUACGGGAGGCAGCAGUGGGGAAUUUUGGACAAUGGGCGAAAGCCUGAUCCAGCCAUGCCGCGUGCAGGAUGAAGGCCUUCGGGUUGUAAACUGCUUUUGUACGGAACGAAAAGCCUCUUUCUAAUAAAGAGGGGUCAUGACGGUACCGUAAGAAUAAGCACCGGCUAACUACGUG